RNAcentral lists this ribosomal RNA (253 nucleotides) under uncultured bacterium. Its description in RNAcentral is "partial 16S ribosomal RNA". It matches the Rfam family "Bacterial small subunit ribosomal RNA", at positions 524 to 776 of the family's 1533-position model. The record is from RNAcentral.
UACGUAGGGGGCAAGCGUUGUCCGGAUUUAUUGGGCGUAAAGAGCGUGUAGGCGGUUUGGUAGGUCCGUUGUGAAAACUCGAGGCUCAACCUCGAGACGCCGAUGGAAACCAUCAGACUAGAGUCCGGAAGAGGAGAGUGGAAUUCCUGGUGUAGCGGUGGAAUGCGCAGAUAUCAGGAGGAACACCGGUGGCGAAGGCGGGUCUCUGGGCAGUAACUGACGUGAGGCAGCGAAAGCGUGGGGAGCGAACAGG